UACGGAGGGAGCAAGCGUUAAUCGGAAUAACUGGGCGUAAAGGGCACGCAGGCGGGCUUUUAAGUGAGGGGUGAAAACCCCGGGCUUAACCUGGGAAUAGCAUUUCUGACUGGGAGUCUAGAGUACUUUAGGGAGGGGUAGAAUUCCACGUGUAGCGGGGAAAUGCGUAGAGAUGUGGAGGAAUACCGAAGGCGAAGGCAGCCCCGUGGGACUGUACUGACGCUCGUGUGCGAAAGCGUGGGCAGCAACUAGG
RNAcentral lists this ribosomal RNA (253 nucleotides) under uncultured bacterium. Its description in RNAcentral is "partial 16S ribosomal RNA". It matches the Rfam family "Bacterial small subunit ribosomal RNA", at positions 524 to 776 of the family's 1533-position model. The record is from RNAcentral.